This 366-nucleotide long non-coding RNA is filed under the name Sinocyclocheilus anshuiensis. RNAcentral's name for it is "lncRNA (ENSSANG00000015509.1)". The record is from RNAcentral. Lineage: Eukaryota; Metazoa; Chordata; Actinopteri; Cypriniformes; Cyprinidae.
CUCAACUGUAGGAAUGAUACUUUCAGUUUUGUUUUUACUUAAUUCUCGCUAAAUGUGCAGUGGUUUAUGAAAUUUAGAAAGCCAGAAUGUAAAACUCAUGCAGAACUUUUACAAUGUUCAAGCGCUUCAAUCUUCUGCUGCUGUUUUGCUUCAUCUAUCAGAGCGGAGCCCCGCCUGUAGGAACCAGCACUAUAUCUGUGUCAGGAAAAAAGAGAGACAACGUCACACUGCCAUGUCAAUUUGAGACCAAAAAGAUUUCUGAUAUUAGUUUAAACAAUGGGUCAGAAAACAUCCCUGUCUGUCAGACUGAAGAAUGUAGUGGACGAGUAUUUAAAAAAGGAAACUGUGACGUCGUCUUCAAGAAUC